Molecule: ribosomal RNA, 220 nt
Filed under: Staphylococcus epidermidis
Lineage: Bacteria; Bacillati; Bacillota; Bacilli; Caryophanales; Staphylococcaceae
Also listed under: 2 other names
Description: partial 16S ribosomal RNA
Rfam family: Bacterial small subunit ribosomal RNA
Source: RNAcentral
UGAAGCUGGAAUCGCUAGUAAUCGUAGAUCAGCAUGCUACGGUGAAUACGUUCCCGGGUCUUGUACACACCGCCCGUCACACCACGAGAGUUUGUAACACCCGAAGCCGGUGGAGUAACCAUUUGGAGCUAGCCGUCGAAGGUGGGACAAAUGAUUGGGGUGAAGUCGUAACAAGGUAGCCGUAUCGGAAGGUGCGGCUGGAUCACCUCCUUUCUAAGGA